Molecule: small nuclear RNA, 120 nt
Organism: Monomorium pharaonis (pharaoh ant)
Lineage: Eukaryota; Metazoa; Arthropoda; Insecta; Hymenoptera; Formicidae
Product: U5 spliceosomal RNA
Exons: 1
Source: RefSeq, a predicted model, not a curated record
UACUCAGGUUUUCCCUUCAACAUACGGAUAAAUCUUUCGCCUUUUACUAAAGAUUUCCGUGGAGGGGAACAAUUUACUGAGCUUAUAAUUAAUUUUUGAGGACUCAGUUAAAACUGGGUC